UUUUUUGCUGACGAGUGGCGGACGGGUGAGUAAUGCUUGGGAAUCUGGCUUAUGGAGGGGGAUAACUACGGGAAACUGUAGCUAAUACCGCGUAGUAUCGAGAGAUGAAAGUGUGGGACCGCAAGGCCACAUGCCAUAAGAUGAGCCCAAGUGGGAUUAGGUAGUUGGUUAGGUAAAGGCUGACCAAGCCGACGAUCUCUAGCUGGUCUGAGAGGAUGACCAGCCACACUGGAACUGAGACACGGUCCAGACUCCUACGGGAGGCAGCAGUGGGGAAUAUUGCACAAUGGGGGGAACCCUGAUGCAGCCAUGCCGCGUGAAUGAAGAAGGCCUUCGGGUUGUAAAGUUCUUUCGGUGAUGAGGAAGGUGUUUGUUUUAAUAGAACAAGCAAUUGACGUUAGUCACAGAAGAAGCACCGGCUAACUCCGUGCCAGCAGCCGCGGUAAUACGGAGGGUGCGAGCGUUAAUCGGAAUAACUGGGCGUAAAGGGCACGCAGGCGGUGACUUAAGUGAGAUGUGAAAGCCCCGAGCUUAACUUGGGAAUUGCAUUUCAUACUGGGUCGCUAGAGUACUUUAGGGAGGGGUAGAAUUCCACGUGUAGCGGUGAAAUGCGUAGAGAUGUGGAGGAAUACCGAAGGCGAAGGCAGCCCCUUGGGAAUGUACUGACGCUCAUGUGCGAAAGCGUGGGGAGCAAAC
This 696-nucleotide ribosomal RNA is filed under the name uncultured Actinobacillus sp. Its description in RNAcentral is "bacterial SSU rRNA". It matches the Rfam family "Bacterial small subunit ribosomal RNA", at positions 81 to 773 of the family's 1533-position model. The record is from RNAcentral. Lineage: Bacteria; Pseudomonadati; Pseudomonadota; Gammaproteobacteria; Pasteurellales; Pasteurellaceae.